AUGGCGAACAAACACUCGUCCCUCUCCCUCUUCCUCGUCCUCCUUGGCCUGUCGGCAAGCUUAGCCUCCGGUCAAGUCCUGUUUCAGGGUUUCAACUGGGAGUCGUGGAAGCACAAUGGCGGGUGGUACAACUUCCUGAUGGGCAAGGUGGACGACAUCGCCGCCGCCGGCGUCACGCACGUGUGGCUCCCCCCGGCGUCGCAGUCCGUCGCCGAGCAAGGGUACAUGCCGGGCCGGCUGUACGACCUGGACGCGUCCAAGUACGGCAACAAGGCGCAGCUCAAGUCCCUGAUCGGGGCGCUCCACGGCAAGGGCGUCAAGGCCAUCGCCGACAUCGUCAUCAACCACCGCACGGCGGAGCGCAAGGACGGCCGGGGCAUCUACUGCAUCUUCGAGGGCGGCACCCCUGACGCGCGCCUCGACUGGGGCCCCCACAUGAUCUGCCGCGACGACCGGCCCUACGCCGACGGCACGGGCAACCCAGACACCGGCGCCGACUUCGGGGCCGCCCCGGACAUCGACCACCUCAACCCGCGCGUCCAGAAGGAGCUCGUGGAGUGGCUCAACUGGCUCAGGACCGACGUCGGCUUCGACGGCUGGCGCUUCGACUUCGCCAAGGGCUACUCCGCGGACGUCGCCAAGAUCUACAUCGACCGCUCGGAGCCCAGCUUCGCCGUGGCCGAGAUAUGGACGUCGCUGGCGUACGGCGGGGACGGCAAGCCCAACCUCAACCAGGACCAGCACCGGCAGGAGCUGGUGAACUGGGUGAACAAGGUGGGCGGCUCCGGCCCCGGCACCACGUUCGACUUCACCACCAAAGGCAUCCUCAACGUGGCUGUGGAGGGCGAGCUGUGGCGGCUGCGCGGCACCGACGGCAAGGCGCCAGGCAUGAUCGGGUGGUGGCCAGCCAAGGCGGUGACCUUCGUGGACAACCAUGACACCGGCUCCACGCAGCACAUGUGGCCCUUCCCUUCCGACAAGGUCAUGCAGGGAUACGCCUACAUCCUCACGCACCCUGGGACCCCAUGCAUCUUCUACGAUCAUUUCUUCGACUGGGGGCUGAAGGAGGAGAUCGAUCGCCUGGUGUCAAUCAGGACCCGGCAGGGGAUACACAGUGAGAGCAAGCUGCAAAUCAUAGAGGCCGACGCCGACCUUUACCUGGCCGAGAUCGAUGGCAAGGUCAUCGUCAAGCUCGGGCCAAGAUACGAUGUCGGGCACCUCAUUCCUCAAGGCUUCAAGGUGGUCGCGCACGGCAAUGACUAUGCCGUAUGGGAGAAAAUAUAA
This 1284-nucleotide ribosomal RNA is filed under the name Triticum aestivum (bread wheat). RNAcentral describes it as "partial small subunit ribosomal RNA". The record is from RNAcentral. Lineage: Eukaryota; Viridiplantae; Streptophyta; Magnoliopsida; Poales; Poaceae.